Molecule: ribosomal RNA, 460 nt
Filed under: uncultured bacterium
Lineage: Bacteria
Description: partial 16S ribosomal RNA
Rfam family: Bacterial small subunit ribosomal RNA
Source: RNAcentral
CCUACGGGAGGCAGCAGUGAGGAAUAUUGGUCAAUGGGCGGGAGACUGAACCAGCCAAGUCGCGUGAGGGAAGACGGUCCAAUGGAUCGUAAACCUCUUUAGGCGGGGAGCAAUGCCGGGCACGCGUGCCCGGAGGGAGAGUACCCGCAGAAUAAGCAUCGGCUAACUCCGUGCAAGCAGCCGCGGUAAUACGGAGGAUGCGAGUGUUAUCCGUAUUUAUGGGGUUUAAAGGGUGCGUAGGCGGCUUUUUAAGUCAGCGGUAAAAGGUCCGGGCUCAACCCGGGCCGGCCGUUGAAACGGGGAGUCUUGAGUGGGCGAGAAGUAUGCGGAAUGCGUGGUGUAGCGGUGAAAUGCAUAGAUAUCGCGCAGAACUCCGAUUGCGAAGGCAGCAUACCGGCGCCCCACUGACGCUGAGGCACGAAAGCGUGGGGAUCGAACAGGAUUAGAUACCCUAGUAGUC